This 2276-nucleotide long non-coding RNA is filed under the name Physcomitrium patens. RNAcentral's name for it is "long non-coding RNA (PPAT_LNC011535)". Lineage: Eukaryota; Viridiplantae; Streptophyta; Bryopsida; Funariales; Funariaceae. The record is from RNAcentral.
CUUUGCGUCGGACUGUGCACGAUCCUGGUGGUCCUCAUCGUCCUCCUCGGCGUCGCGACGCUCAUCACCUAUUUAGUCCUGCGUCCACGCACCACGCACUACGACAUCGUCUCCGCCAGAGUUCCUGCCCUGGCCGUUAGCGGCACCACAUCCAGUCCCACUUCCACGUCAACUGUCACUGCAGAAUUCACCUACGGGGUGCAAGCACGCAACCCCAACGGCAAGGUCGUCAUGGAGUAUCAGAAAUUCAACGUUCUCACCACGUACCUCGGCACAGACAUCGGCCACAGCAGCGUCCCCGGGUUCAUCCUCGGCGAAAAGGGCUCAUACGUAUUCCAAGUGACCACCUCUUCUGCCUACACAAAUGGUCAGGUUAAUAACAUCGUCGGCAACACAUUGAAGGCCGACAUCGCGAGCGGCUCCGUCAACGUGCAAGUUAAGAUUGACAUUAGGGCGCGAGCGCAUAUCGGUGGUUACACUUCCUUUUGGAUGUGGCUCCACACUCUUUGCCAGGUGACUGUCAUUCCUCCGUCAGGAAGCAACCCCGGAGUAUUUGUGCGGUCGAAAUGCUCGGAUUAGUGUUUCUCAUAGAUCUUAAUUUCUUGCCGUGCAAUACCAAUUUGGAGAUCAGCUUUAGAGAAUCAAACUGCCGAAUCAUGUACAGCAUCCCUCUCUAUUGCUCUUCGUUCACCUCGCGUCAGUAGACACCAUAGCUGUGAAAAUUCUGUACAGUUGCUGAAACGUCCAUCAACACAUUUUAUGAAGGUUUGCAGUGUUGUAACGAUCGGAUUCCAGAGCCAGAUGACGUCGUCGUCGUUUUGGGAAGGAUUCUGCUACUGGGCUGGCUGUCGAUCGAGUUAAAUGCUAGUUGAUUAAGCCAAAAUAGAAGUUGUUAUUGGUGGAACUUAGGAUCAAACCGUGGGUUGUCCAUCGUGGCCUGCGCAAUGUGAUUGUGUCUGCAAUCUUGUAAAAACGCUCGACACCCAACAGUGUGAAAAAUCUUAUUUGUACACCUACCACAUUCUCGUAUCGGUUCCUGCGAUGAGCAAAAGCGUGGACCCUUUCAAAAGCAUCACUAGAAAAAGUGACGACGAAACGGAAAGUGCAAAAUAAAUUCUAAUCUGCUGCUGGAGUUGUGAACCCUAACAAACGGAAUCAAUCAGUCAAUCAUAAUAAUAAUAAAAAUAUACUUGUGAGUUGGCGUGGAUGCCGCAAAGGGCGCCGCAGUGAUGUGGUUCAACGACAUUAUUUCUUCUCGGGAGGAGGAAAUUCAUUCGCGGUCCCACUCUCUCCGAAUCCCCGGAAGCAUUGGUUCGUCUCGAGGAUGUGUAUAUUUCCAUGUUCCUUAUGUUUCGUUAGCUUCUCCUUCUUCAAAUUGUCAUGUCCAAACUGUGAAUCCUGAGCUGUGCCGCUCAAACCCUAAUCGAUGGCAAAUGACUAGAGCAUGUGGUAGAUUUUUUACUUUGUUGUGGAACUUCUUUGGUGGUGAACUCACUCGGGUCCUUGCUUUGCUUCUACGAAAAGAAAUUGUUUUGUUAAGUUUGGAAUUGAAUAGUUUACAUUGUAUUUGGAAUAUUAUCAAGAUAAUAUAUUGAUCAAUUUAGAAAAAAAUUAUAGUAUUGAACACAAUCAAUUAAUGUUUAUUAUUUGCAAUGAAAAAUUGACGUCAGUCCAUUAGUAUGUAUAAAGUAAAGAAAUUCAAUGAUGUUUUGUUUGCAAAUAUCACUUUGCAAAGUGAUAUUGGUAGUAGACAGAUGUUUGAAGACUAGAAAUUAUUAUUAAAUGAUUCUCUAAAAUAUAUAACAGACUCUUAUUAUUAUUAUUAUUAUCUUACUUAUAUAUAUAUAUAUAUAUAUAUGUGUGUGUGUGUGUGUGUGUUUGUUAUAUAAAACAGUUGAUGGGGUCAAAUACACUGAAUUAACUGAGGAGAUGGCCUUUCUAUACUCACAAUACUGAGCAAUGUAUUACACAGUUGCCACUCCCUGAACAACACUCAUAAUCAUGGUCAUAUGGUAGUGCAAAUCAUAUGGUUGUGCAAGCACCAUAAUCAACACCAACAGCAUAAUCAUCAACUCAUUGCAUGAUUGUGCUUUGAGCUUGCAUUAUUAUCAUGCAUUUCAAUGUUAUCUUUUGAUACAAUCAACGUUAAUCAUCCUUGUGAACAGUUUUUGUUCACUUUUUUGAUAAAAACAAUGAGGCAUGCAGCUUAUCAGAAGGCCAUUUUGUCUCCCCAGUUUAUUCCCUGUAUUUGUCCCUCCCUGUGCUGUUUUAGAUAU